GGAAGUAAAAAUCGUAACAAGGUUUCCGUAGGUGAACCUGCGGAAGGAUCAUUGUCGAAUCCUGCAUAGCAGUACCACUCGCGAACAAGUUUACAAAAACAGGCCUGAUCGGGUGCGGGGAUUUCCUCGGACUCGAUUUGUGUCUAACGGUGCCAGGGCUUUUUGACCUGGUGCCUAACAAACCCCCGGCGCGAGAAGCGCCAAGGAAUACUCUUAACAAGGGCUUGAUCCAUCCUCUCCCGUUUGCGGGGUGCAGGGGAUUGGGGACAGCUUCUUACUAAACCAAAACGACUCUCGGCAACGGAUAUCUCGGCUCUCGCAUCGAUGAAGAACGUAGCGAAAUGCGAUACUUGGUGUGAAUUGCAGAAUCCCGUGAACCAUCGAGUCUUUGAACGCAAGUUGCGCCUGAAGCCAUUAGGCUAAGGGCACGUCUGCCUGGGCGUCACGCAUCGCGUCACCCCCUCACCAAUCAUGGUGUGCGGGGUGGAUUGUGACCUCCUAUGCCUAGGGUGCAGUUGGUCGAAAAUUGAGUCCGGAGCUUAGGAUGUCACGGCAAGUGGUGGUUGGAUAACAACUCGCGUCCUGUCGUGUGCCGAACCUCAUGUGACUGUCAAGACCCUAAGGCGCACGUUGCCCUCCUAUUUGGGUGGGAAGCCUGCGCUACGACCGCGACCCCAGGUCAGGCGGGACUACCCGCUGAAUUUAAGCAUAUCAA
This 715-nucleotide ribosomal RNA is filed under the name Asperugo procumbens. RNAcentral's name for it is "eukaryotic LSU rRNA". The stretch from base 290 to 445 matches the Rfam family "5.8S ribosomal RNA". Lineage: Eukaryota; Viridiplantae; Streptophyta; Magnoliopsida; Boraginales; Boraginaceae. The record is from RNAcentral.